AUUCCGGCCUUGAGACUUCCCCUUUGGUGAACACGUCGAGCCUUGGAAACCAGUCUCAUUUUGUUCAUACAUUGGUUCAUCCUUCUUUUAUCUGUUCACCGAAUCUUGAUGCUGGUCUGCUUACAUAAUGCAUUUUGCUUCUGCUCACUGAAUUGAGAUUCAUCAAGACCUCGUUAUUCUGAGAAGUAUGAGGUAUCAGAAGGAAAACUUGUUCAUUUGAAUUUUUUUGGAAAACUUAUGUGAUGAUUCAUAGAAAAUUACCAACGCCCAAUUUGUUGGUUGGUUGUUUCUCUACAUCUAAAAGUGAGCAUCAAUAGUUCUUCCUUCCUCCAGUAAUAGGAUCAGAAAUGGAUUCGAGUAAGAUGACUUUGUAAUCCCUUAGUUUCUCAUUUUGUUGUUAAACUGAUAAGUUUGCUGCAUGUCAGUUCAUUUCUUUCUUUGUCUUUUUUUUUUUUUGAGCAGGUGCAUGUCAGUUUCUGAAGUGCUAUUCUGAGCAUGCUUAUCCCUGCAAGUUUUCUUUCUUCCCUCUGAAAGAGGCACAUAGACAUACUGUACUGAUGCUGCUUUUAGAUAAAUGUUUGCUUAGCCUAGUAUUUAUUCUUCAAUAAAUACUGAUGCUAUUUAUCUGGUCAUCAAAGAGCUUAGAUAAAUAUGUUCAGCAUUGCCUUUUAUGUACAUAUAUUUUCAGAAGAACUUGAGGCGGUUAGUGAAACAUUAAGUAACGUGGAUCAUGUACACUGCACACUUUUUUUUAGAAGUGACAAUUUGAGAGGUUUUACCAAGCAGUUGAACUAGGUAAGCUUAAAGUUUUUGUGAAGGUUGCUAUCAUGCAAGCUGGGAUAGCACUAUAGUGUACUGAUAUUGUCACAUGAGACUGCAUAUCCAAAACCAAAACAAUAUGACAUCAUGCAACCAAAAUAGGUGAUGUAGUACCGGACUUCUGGAGAGUCAUAAUGUUCACUAUCAUCUUCUUACAGUUAUGUAUAAGACUAUUGCGUGCAAGUUACUGCAUACACUGGCAAAUGGAUUAUGAUUAUAAGUUUCAUUCCAACAGUUUUGCUUCUGCAAUUGAAUAGCACAUGAUAUAAUCAAAACUAAUCUAGAUCUCUUAGCUCUAAUCUGAGCUUAUACUUCAAAGUUGGCAGCUGAACUUGUAGUUUAGACUUCAAUUAGUUACUCCCUCUGUUUCUGUAUAGUAUUUUAUUGAUUGAGAUUAAGCAAAAUUAUGUCAAAUUUGUACUCAUUGGAUAGAUCAAUAGUUUGUAUGCCCAAUGAGACAAAAAUGAUCCAAUUUCAUCUAAGUUUACUUUGCUUUUGUGCCUCCUGGGUAUGUGGACAGGGAAAACAUUAUCAAACGGAGGCAGUGGAAGAUUUCUACAUGCUAACUCUUCAGAGGAAACUAAGUUCCAUCCUCCUACAAUAGUGUUGGUGUGUGGGUGAUUCGACUCAGGAAACUAGUGCACAAUGGAGAAUCUGAUCAAACUAUAGCAUGAUUGGGAAAUUCAGUUGCUAGUGCUUCUAAGUUUUGAAAUACAAAUAUUUCUAUUCUUCACUGGUGGCCUUCAUCGCCGAAGCAUCAACAUGUUGCUUAGACUCUCUAUUUGGAUAGCUUAUUUGGGAGCAGACGUGAUAGCAGUUUAUGCCCUUGGCUACCGCUCACAGCAUAAGGAUGCCACCAUUGAAGGAGACACAAUAAGGGGAACCCAGCCACUAGCUUUCGUCUGGGCUCCCUUCCUCCUCAUUCAUCUCGGUGGGCAGGACACUAUCACUGCUUUUGCCAUGGAGGACAACAACUUGUGGUUAAGGCAUUUAUUGAAUCUCAUGGCGCAGGUUGUCCUAUCUUUAUAUGUUUUCUGGAAGUCGAUUAGAAGACACAGCGUGGAACUUCUAGUUUCAGGUAUCUUUGUGUUUGUUGCGGGGAUUAUCAAAUAUGGAGAAAGGACAUGGUCUCUCAAGUGUGGGAGCUUUAAAAGUCUUCAGAGCUCCACUGGAAAUCACUGUAAGCAUCGGUUUCCAGAAUUGAUUGAUGGGGAUGCUAGUUAUUCUAACACUGUCUGGACUGGUCUUCGUUCAAUGCUAGAUGUCCUUAAUUUCUUCUCUGGCCGAACCUUGUUUGUUGGUGAUCCGUUGAGGUUUGGUCGUGAAGGUUUGGGAACUUGGCUACCCAACCAAGUGCUCAAGGUGCUUGGGGUCGAACUUGGUAUGAUGUAUGAUGAUCUCUACACCAAAGCUCUUGUUCUUAGAACAAGGAGUGGCAUUACACUUUGUUGUAUCUCCCAGUUAUCUGCUUUGGUUGCCUUCGCGCUCUUCCUUGCAGGCAAGAAACAUAAGUACAGUAGGGCUGAUAUUGCAAUCACCUAUUUAUUUGUCGGCACAUUCUUCCUGGAACUUUGUGCAUUGUUUAUAUUCUUGAUGUCUCCAUGGACAUGGGCAUGGUUGAAAGCUCGAAAAUACGAGAGGCUUGCCCAGUAUUCUUGGUCUCUUUUUUCCAGCGGCCUCAUUGGAUGGCCAGAGAAGAGGUCAUUGUGGUCAAAUGCAAUGGGACAGUACAACUUGAGGGUUUGGUUUGAGGAGUAUGGCAAACCAAAGUCUUGUGGCCAACGAGUGAUGAACAUGACCAGAAAGUUGGCAACAUCAAUCAGUGUUGAUAAGGAGAAAAUAUUUUGGCUAAGCAAGCUAUUAGACAUGGAGUAUGUCAAGGUGGAUAAGGUGACGGAGUGUCUUGUGGAGGCCACCAGCAACUUUGUUCGUCAACCCUAUGAGUUUCAGAGGACCGGGAAUGGCCAAAUCUUGACCCUCUCUUAAGAUAUGCACAAGUUUUUUACAUCGCAGAUUCUGGUUUUGCUAUUGUCUUUAUGCAUAUGGUUACUGAGCUACACCUGAGCAAAUACCCCUGCCCAGACAUUGAAGCAGAUGUAGCAGAAGAUAUUGAUGUUUUGGUGGAGAUCUGCUAGAAACUUUCCUGCUACAUGAUGCACCUCCUGCUCACCCUCCCUUCCCUGCUGCCUCUCAAUGCUAGCGCGGUGGCUACUGAAUAAGCGGCAAGCUUACAUGUUGGAGAACGAUAUCAUGACAGAAUUGAAAGGGCUUGAUCCCCAGCCGGGCAAGGAAGCACUAGAGGAGAUCAAGGAUCUAUGGGUGCGGCUCACCAUCUAUGCUGCUGCCAAGUCACAGCCGGAGAUGCAUGCAGCACAACUGGCAAGAGGAGGGGAACCCCUUACUUUUGUUUGGCUGCAGCUAGCGCACUAUAACUGUGGGGAAUUCAGGUUCAGUAGGAUCGAGCUUACCCGUGAUCGCUCCAAACAUUCGAUAUUCUAUGUCUUACAACUCAAUGGCAGCUCAGAUGAAAGGAGAUUAACUGAAGAGUGGAUCGAGAGAUUGUUCGCAUGAAGGCUGGAGUUUCAUGAGUUAGUGCAUUGCAGUUGGCAGUGUGUUUGAUCGAAGUUACAACUGAUGCCGUGAUGUACCUUGCCAAUGUCAGACGAUCGGCAUUCCAGGUAUGCAUGGUGGGUGCCCAGGUUUUGCCAUCUGUAGUGAUAAAUCCAAUGGUGGCUGGUACUUAGCCCCCAAUUUGUCUCCUAACCUCAAUUUCACCUUAAUUGUUUAGCUGUAUAGCUGGGUUAAGAAAGGUUUGCAAAAUCUAAAUUCCCUAGUAAAACAUUGCCUAUGUAUAUGCCACUAGAAAGAUCCUUCUGUUUUGUUCUCCCCUCUCAAGUCAAUGUUUUUGUCGAGUGAUGUGAUGUCUUCUUUUCUCUGAUCAUCUUCAACAAUAGUGAGGACUCUUCUGUGUGGCAUCAUCUAGGGUUUCCGGAGCAAAAUAAGCGGGUUUCGUUCACAAGAAUGAGUGCUAGUAUAAAAUCGCUCAACUAGAUUUUACAGAAUGACAUGGUUCCUCAAACCUUAUGCAUCAUUGGGCAUGUAAAAAUAAAUGUCUCAAUUGUUCUCCAAACACAAGGCAGGCUGCCUACUUUGCAAGUACUUGCCGAUGCUUGUCAAGUAUCUAUUGUGGUGAGCUGGGUGGCUGGUGGUCUAAUGAAGGCACAAUUGAAACAUCGCCUUUACUGAAUGAACUACCAACUCUCCAACGCAGAGUGCCCUUGCCUACACAUUGGUGGUGACCAUCUGGUCUAAAUUAAAGAUCAGGAUGUAGACACUGGACACACCUUGCCUUUACUUCUGAGCUAGCAAAGCUUCAUCACUGGCAACUGCUGGACAGGGACAUACCAAUAUGCCCGGCAUGGUACCAGAGGGAGGGGCCACUCUCUUGGCUUACUGACAUUUAUGCCGCCAUACCUCCAUCUUUCAUCUCUGUUGCAGGCAGGAUUUUACUUGCUUAGAUCAUCCAGGAGUAGUGAACUUGUUUUUGUUUCCAAGAAAGUUAAACUCAGCCUUUGAAUAGUGUUCGCGGAAACAAGUAUAUGUCAAAUUCCUGUAAAUUAAACAUCAUUUGAAUUCUCAGUUUCCAGGGUAAAAUUUGAAUUGUAGACACA
Molecule: RNA transcript, 4490 nt
Organism: Panicum hallii
Lineage: Eukaryota; Viridiplantae; Streptophyta; Magnoliopsida; Poales; Poaceae
Exons: 3
Source: RefSeq, a predicted model, not a curated record